This 153-nucleotide ribosomal RNA is filed under the name uncultured Pseudomonas sp. RNAcentral describes it as "partial 16S ribosomal RNA". It matches the Rfam family "Bacterial small subunit ribosomal RNA", at positions 1231 to 1382 of the family's 1533-position model. Lineage: Bacteria; Pseudomonadati; Pseudomonadota; Gammaproteobacteria; Pseudomonadales; Pseudomonadaceae. The record is from RNAcentral.
UGGUCGGUACAAAGGGUUGCCAAGCCGCGAGGUGGAGCUAAUCCCAUAAACCGAUCGUAGUCCGGAUCGCAGUCUGCAACCUCCGACUGCGUGAAGUCGGAAUCGCUAGUAAUCGUGAAUCAGAAUGUCACGGUGAAUACGUUCCCGGGCCUU